This 253-nucleotide ribosomal RNA is filed under the name uncultured bacterium. RNAcentral describes it as "partial 16S ribosomal RNA". It matches the Rfam family "Bacterial small subunit ribosomal RNA", at positions 524 to 776 of the family's 1533-position model. The record is from RNAcentral.
UACGUAGGGGGCAAGCGUUGUCCGGAAUCAUUGGGCGUAAAGCGCGUGUAGGCGGUCCGGUAAGUCCGCUGUGAAAGUCGGGGGCUCAACCCUCGGAUGCCGGUGGAUACUGUCGGGCUUGAGUACGGAAGAGGCGAGUGGAAUUCCUGGUGUAGCGGUGAAAUGCCCAGAUAUCAGGAGGAACACCAAUUGCGAAGGCAGCUCGCUGGGACGUAACUGACGCUGAGACGCGAAAGCGUGGGGAGCAAACAGG